GGAGGAGUGGCUGAGUGGCCGAAAGCAGCGGUCUUGAAAACCGCCGUCCACGCAAGUGGACCGUAGGUUCGAAUCCUACCUCCUCCG
Molecule: transfer RNA, 87 nt
Filed under: Candidatus Omnitrophota bacterium
Lineage: Bacteria; Pseudomonadati; Candidatus Omnitrophota
Description: tRNA-Ser
Rfam family: tRNA
About the family: Transfer RNA (tRNA) molecules are approximately 80 nucleotides in length.
Source: RNAcentral